This 305-nucleotide ribosomal RNA is filed under the name uncultured bacterium. RNAcentral describes it as "bacterial SSU rRNA". It matches the Rfam family "Bacterial small subunit ribosomal RNA", at positions 334 to 635 of the family's 1533-position model. The record is from RNAcentral.
UAGCCUACGGGACGCAGCAGGGAAUUUUCGUCAAUGGGCGCAAGCCUGAACGAGCAAUGCCGCGUGAACGAGGAAGGUCUUCGGAUCAUAAAGUUCUGUUGACGGGGAAAAAGAGCGGAGAGAGGAAAUGAACUCCGAUUGAUAUUACCCUUCGAGGAAGUCACGGCUAACUACGUGCCAGCAGCCGCGGUAAUACGUAGGUGGCGAGCGUUAUCCGGAAUGAUUGGGCGUAAAGGGUGCGUAGACGGCUGUGCAAGUCUGAAGUGAAAGCCCAGGGCUCAACCCUGGGACUGCUUUGGAAACUG